AUAAAAUUAAGUUAGUUAGACUAAAUGUUUUCAAAACAUUCAGCGACCGUAUGGUCAUUUUAUA
RNAcentral lists this transfer RNA (64 nucleotides) under Abothrium gadi. RNAcentral's name for it is "tRNA-Trp". The record is from RNAcentral. Lineage: Eukaryota; Metazoa; Platyhelminthes; Cestoda; Bothriocephalidea; Triaenophoridae.